AGAAGUCAGAGAACAGCAACAGGCGUAGGAAGGCAAAUCUCCUUUCCACCAGCAAGACAAAGAGAAUAAACCCAACUUUCCUCUACGAGCAGGGUUGUGAAAAUUGCAAGAAGUAAACACUGUGAGAGUUUGUACCUGUGUGCAUGGCAGCUGGGAAUUGUCCUUCCCUUUGCCUGGGACAGGCACUGGGGCCAGCAGCCUGUUUUAUCUCACCUUCAGCAACGCACCGUCCCGGGCUUCGAUGCGGAGAGCUGCAGCAUUUUUCUCUCUUGGGAUUUUAAUGUCAUCUUACACAUCAAGAGGAUUCAAAUGACAAGAAUGAAUGGCAGUAGCCAACCUCACGGCUUGAUAUUCUGAUGAAAUGAUGCCCUGGCACAUCCAUCAUGCUGUUUUGCUGUCAAGAGAGUUCCCGUCUCUGUAAGAUGAGUGUGUUUUUCUUUUAUGGUGUUAAAAAAAAAUAAAAAAAGAGCAGGAAAAAGAGGUAAGCGUCUGUCCUCAGGUCUUACUACCACACAGAUGUAACUUAGGUACAGCUCCAAACAGAGGACGUGGAUGAGCUCACCUGGAUGGAGGUCACACCCGUGAGCGGGAGCAAAGCACGAGGGGUGAGCGUACAGGAGAGCAAUGCAGUGAGGAUAUUUGCAAACCACAGGGCUGCACGAUGUGGGGAUGCAGAUACUGUGCCAGUUGCCUGGGCAACCCUCCCUUCUGCAAGGUGCCCCUUUGUCUUUCCUGAGUUUUAAGUAAGGUGCCUCAUUCUAAAAUGCAGAUUCUCCAAGCUGUAAGUAAGACUCACCUCCUAAUGCUGUAAAUAAGACUUCUCUCCUGGUGCUCUUCCCUCCAAUCCUUUCAGUGCCUGCUUUCGGCAGCACUGCUGGUGGUUAUCAAGACAUGAAAUCGAGAGCAGCUCCAUGGGCGUCGCUUGUUUGGGGUGAGACAGGAGGUCCCCAGCAAUAAGCACAGAUCCCAUAAUGAGAGAUCACCCCCUCUUCCCUUAUUUUUGCUCCUACUGAGCACUGGGUUGCUCCAUUUUGCUGCCUGCCCUUUGAUGCACAGAGCCUGCAGGGAAUAAAGCCCGGUGGGAGACUGCUGACGUGGUUUCUUUCCUGUUAGUUUCUUGUAUGGGCUGAAAAUAAAGACAACGAAGAAGAAAAUCUGCGAAAAGUAGUUCAAGGUGUGAAGAAUUCAUAUGGCAGGAAAAUACAUAAAGUGUUAUCGGCUCUGUCCCCCUUGGCUCCAGCCUCAAUCGGCUCACCAUGCUGUGUGUUUAUCCCUCUAUUUUUACACAUAACAAUAGGGAAAUGUUAGUGAGUUCCAUGCUCAACCAGUCUGUCCCUGCCCCCAGCAAGCAAAGACCACGCUGGCUCCAGCUCACACUGCCUGGCAUCUGAUUGCAGCCUAGCAGGGUGUUUCAAUACCAAUAAACAUCUUGUUUCCAUG
Molecule: long non-coding RNA, 1440 nt
Filed under: Gallus gallus (chicken)
Lineage: Eukaryota; Metazoa; Chordata; Aves; Galliformes; Phasianidae
Description: lncRNA (ENSGALG00010022653.1)
Source: RNAcentral